Molecule: long non-coding RNA, 550 nt
Filed under: Cicer arietinum (chickpea)
Lineage: Eukaryota; Viridiplantae; Streptophyta; Magnoliopsida; Fabales; Fabaceae
Description: long non-coding RNA (CARI_LNC003232)
Source: RNAcentral
UAAUACAAACUUUGCAAUUUCUUACUUAUUAUAAAAACUUCACACAUUGUUAUACUCUUACUGAAACCAUGCUUUAUGAAUCAACAAUCAAAUUGAAUCUCUGUCUCUCACAUGAAACAUUGCAACAUACAUUUUCUCCAUUGAACAAUAACUCAAUGAAACAACACAGUGAGCACACCCAAAAAAAAAACAAUCAAAACAAAACUAAAAUGUUCAAAAUAAAAAUCAAAGACAACUAUUGAAACAACAUAAAUGAAGAAUAAAUAAGAGAAAAAACCAAUGCUAUUGAUUACACAAAUGCAGAUAAAAAGAAAUCAGCAAGCAUGAAUACAAAUACAGAGAUAAACAAAAGCGAAGAGAGAAGAGAUGACUCACGAAGAGAGAAAACGAGGUGCGAUCGUUGUGCGAAGAGAGAAGACGAAGUGCGGUCGUUGUGCGAAGAGAGAAGACGAAGUGUGAUCGUUGUGCGAAGAGAGAAGACGAAGUGCGAUCGUUGUGCGAAGAGAGAAGAGAUGACUUUCUAUUUGCGGCGGCGGCGAACGGCGGCGGC